This 89-nucleotide small RNA is filed under the name Bizionia paragorgiae. Its description in RNAcentral is "Flavo-1 RNA". It matches the Rfam family "Flavo-1 RNA". The record is from Rfam by way of RNAcentral. Lineage: Bacteria; Pseudomonadati; Bacteroidota; Flavobacteriia; Flavobacteriales; Flavobacteriaceae.
UUGUAGCUCUGUUUUGCGAUAGGGAUUGCAGCAGAAAUCCUUUUGGAGCGUCCCGCAUCAAAAGAUUGUAGCGUAAAGCCCGACCCUUU